RNAcentral lists this transfer RNA (86 nucleotides) under Desulfosoma caldarium. Its description in RNAcentral is "Desulfacinum sp. USBA 53 tRNA". It matches the Rfam family "tRNA". Rfam says of the family: Transfer RNA (tRNA) molecules are approximately 80 nucleotides in length. Their secondary structure includes four short double-helical elements and three loops (D, anti-codon, and T loops). The record is from Rfam by way of RNAcentral. Lineage: Bacteria; Pseudomonadati; Thermodesulfobacteriota; Syntrophobacteria; Syntrophobacterales; Syntrophobacteraceae.
GCCUGGGUGGUGGAAUAGGCAGACACAAGGGACUUAAAAUCCCUUGGGACCUUGUGCCCGUGCGGGUUCGAUCCCCGCCCCAGGCA